GGCUCCUUGGAAUGUUUUUUAUGGGGAGUCGGACCUGCCCGGUGACUAUAAUGUUAAACGGCCGCGGUACCCUAACCGUGCAAAGGUAGCAUAAUCAUUUGCCUUUUAAUUGGAGGCUUGUAUGAAUGGUUUGACGAGAGCCAAGCUGUCUCUUUUGAAAUAUUUAAAAAUUAAUUUUUAGGUGAAGAAGCCUAAAUAAAAUUGAGGGACAAGAAGACCCUGUUGAGCUUUAGUGCUGUACUAAAUUAGGUUGUUGGUUUAUUUUAUUAAAUAAGCUUACUAAAUGUAUUUAAGUAUAAUAGUUUUUUAGUGCAAGAUCUUUAGUUGGGGCGACUGAGGAACAUGUAAAGCUUCCUUUAAGUAAAGCAAUAAAUUAUUAGAGUUGGUUUUAAUUGUUGGCGAGCUAAUAUUAGAUCCAGUACUUAUUGAUUAAAGGAAAAAGUUACCACAGGGAUAACAGCGUAAUCUUUCUGGAGAGAUCUUAUCGAAAGGAGGGUUUGCGACCUCGAUGUUGGACUAAGAUAUCCUAAGGGUGUAGAAGCUC
This 544-nucleotide ribosomal RNA is filed under the name Coelotrochus oppressus. RNAcentral's name for it is "Thoristella oppressa partial 16S ribosomal RNA". It matches the Rfam family "Bacterial large subunit ribosomal RNA", at positions 1817 to 2564 of the family's 2925-position model. Lineage: Eukaryota; Metazoa; Mollusca; Gastropoda; Trochida; Trochidae. The record is from RNAcentral.